AUGCACCGCAUAAAGGCGAGUGCCAAAAAAAUAAGAAAGGAAAACAGGGUUUCUCGAUUGAUUGAGAAAGACGAGCAAAAACCAAAGCGGCGCCUAGCUAGACUAGGUCUAAAGCACCACAAUACACACGAAGCGACAGAAAGCCAAAAUCACACAACACACCCGGUCGGGCACUCGAUUGCUUUCGCCACUACCAGUGUCGACACCGACAACUGUCGUAUUGUACCGGGCUACGAGCCUGUGACGAGCAUAUGUAGGGUAACGCAGCAGAAAACAAAAAAUUUCCGACGUACGCACCAGCCCAGGACCACUAUGGAGACUGCAUACAUGGUUUGA
RNAcentral lists this ribosomal RNA (336 nucleotides) under Triticum aestivum (bread wheat). RNAcentral's name for it is "partial small subunit ribosomal RNA". Lineage: Eukaryota; Viridiplantae; Streptophyta; Magnoliopsida; Poales; Poaceae. The record is from RNAcentral.